ACGGAAGGCAGCAGUGAGGAAUAUUGGUCAAUGGGCGGAAGCCUGAACCAGCCAAGUCGCGUGAAGGAUGAAGGUAUUAUGUAUUGUAAACUUCUUUAGACGCAGAGAAAUAAGCGGGACGUGUCCCGCGAUGCUAGUAUGCGUAGAGUAAGGAUCGGCUAACUCCGUGCCAGCAGCCGCGGUAAUACGGAGGAUCCGAGCGUUAUCCGGAUUUAUUGGGUUUAAAGGGUGCGCAGGCGGGCUAGUAAGUCUCCGGUGAAAUGUCAGGGCUCAACCUUGGCACUGCCGGAGAUACUGUUGGCCUUGAGAGUGGCGGAGGUAUCCGGAAUGUGUGGUGUAGCGGUGAAAUGCAUAGAUAUCACACAGAACACCGAUUGCGAAGGCAGGAUACCAUACCAUAUCUGACGCUCAGGCACGAAAGCGUGGGGAUCGAACAGGAUUAGAUACCCUGGUA
Molecule: ribosomal RNA, 454 nt
Filed under: uncultured Parabacteroides sp.
Lineage: Bacteria; Pseudomonadati; Bacteroidota; Bacteroidia; Bacteroidales; Tannerellaceae
Description: partial 16S ribosomal RNA
Rfam family: Bacterial small subunit ribosomal RNA
Source: RNAcentral